RNAcentral lists this long non-coding RNA (337 nucleotides) under Bos taurus (domestic cattle). Its description in RNAcentral is "long non-coding RNA NONBTAT004821". Lineage: Eukaryota; Metazoa; Chordata; Mammalia; Artiodactyla; Bovidae. The record is from RNAcentral.
GUUUAAUUGUGGAAGCUGUCAGAAUGGACGUAUUUUAUGUAGCAUUCACACCUCAGAAGCCUGUUUUAGCAAAGAUGAAGCCAGUACUGUUUUGUGGCUCAACCCGUGCAGAGUUUUUUCCUGAAAUUACGUGAUUGGGGCCUUAAAAACAUCAGAAGUGCCAUUUGUUUCAAUUGCAGCAGCUCCGUUAAUGAAAACACAUAGAAGAUUUUAGCUUAGCACCACUUUUACUAUAAACCUGAAGAUAGAAUUUUAGAAGUUGUCUUAAUAAUGAUGUAAUUAGGGCCGCUUAGUUAUUGGGUCAAAAACAGCAAGUAUAACAUGGGCUGUCAUUGCC